UCAGAACGAACGCUGGCGGCAGGCUUAACACAUGCAAGUCGAGCGCCCCGCAAGGGGAGCGGCAGACGGGUGAGUAACGCGUGGGAAUCUACCCUUUUCUACGGAAUAACGCAUGGAAACGUGUGCUAAUACCGUAUGAGCCCUUCGGGGGAAAGAUUUAUCGGGAAAGGAUGAGCCCGCGUUGGAUUAGCUAGUUGGUGGGGUAAAGGCCUACCAAGGCGACGAUCCAUAGCUGGUCUGAGAGGAUGAUCAGCCACAUUGGGACUGAGACACGGCCCAAACUCCUACGGGAGGCAGCAGUGGGGAAUAUUGGACAAUGGGCGCAAGCCUGAUCCAGCCAUGCCGCGUGAGUGAUGAAGGCCCUAGGGUUGUAAAGCUCUUUCACCGGUGAAGAUAAUGA
This 400-nucleotide ribosomal RNA is filed under the name Ensifer sp. NH46BA. Its description in RNAcentral is "bacterial SSU rRNA". It matches the Rfam family "Bacterial small subunit ribosomal RNA", at positions 24 to 454 of the family's 1533-position model. The record is from RNAcentral. Lineage: Bacteria; Pseudomonadati; Pseudomonadota; Alphaproteobacteria; Hyphomicrobiales; Rhizobiaceae.